AGGAUGAACGCUAGCGGCGCGCUUAACGCAUGCAAGUCGAGCGAUGAGGCUCCCUUCGGGGGGUACAUCAGCGGCAGACGGGUGAGUAACACGUAGGUAACCUGCCCUCAAGACGGGGAUAACGCCUGGAAACGGGCGCUAAUACCGGAUGACCUUAGUUGGGGAAGCACCGGCUAAGGAAAGGCAAUAGCGCUUGAGGAGGGGCCUGCGGCCCAUCAGUUAGUUGGUAGGGUAACGGCCUACCAAGGCGAAGACGGGUAGGGGGUGUGAGAGCACGGCCCCCCACACUGGGACUGAGACACGGCCCAGACUCCUACGGGAGGCAGCAGCGGGGAAUAUUGCGCAAUGGACGGAAGUCAGACGCAGCGACGCCGCGUGGGUGAAGAAGGCCUUCGGGUUGUAAAGCCCUUUUCUGUGGGAAGAGGAAGGACGGUACCAUAGGAAUAAGCGUCGGCUAACUACGUGCCAGCAGCCGCGGUAAGACGUAGGACGCGAGCGUUAUCCGGAUUUACUGGGCGUAAAGCGUGUGUAGGCGGCGUGACAAGUUGGGCGUGAAAGCCCCGUGCUCAACGCGGGGAGGCCGCACAAUACUGUCAGGCUAGAGGGCAUCAGAGGGGUGUGGAAUUCCCGGAGUAGCGGUAAAAUGCGCAGAUAUCGGGAGGAACACCGGUGGCGAAAGCGGCACCCUGGGGUGCACCUGACGCUGAGAGACGACAGCUAGGGGAGCGAACAGGAUUAGAGACCCUGGUAGUCCUAGCCGUAAACGAUGGAUGCUAGGUGUGGGAGUGAAGAACUUCUGUGCCGCAGCGAACGCGAUAAGCAUCCCGCCUGGGGAGUACG
RNAcentral lists this ribosomal RNA (840 nucleotides) under uncultured organism. RNAcentral describes it as "bacterial SSU rRNA". It matches the Rfam family "Bacterial small subunit ribosomal RNA", at positions 26 to 884 of the family's 1533-position model. The record is from RNAcentral.